RNAcentral lists this ribosomal RNA (274 nucleotides) under uncultured Bifidobacteriales bacterium. Its description in RNAcentral is "partial 16S ribosomal RNA". It matches the Rfam family "Bacterial small subunit ribosomal RNA", at positions 504 to 777 of the family's 1533-position model. Lineage: Bacteria; Bacillati; Actinomycetota; Actinomycetes; Bifidobacteriales. The record is from RNAcentral.
UGUGCCAGCAGCCGCGGUAAUACGUAGGGCGCAAGCGUUAUCCGGAUUUAUUGGGCGUAAAGGGCUCGUAGGCGGCUCGUCGCGUCCGGUGUGAAAGUCCAUCGCUUAACGGUGGAUCUGCGCCGGGUACGGGCGGGCUGGAGUGCGGUAGGGGAGACUGGAAUUCCCGGUGUAACGGUGGAAUGUGUAGAUAUCGGGAAGAACACCGAUGGCGAAGGCAGGUCUCUGGGCCGUCACUGACGCUGAGGAGCGAAAGCGUGGGGAGCGAACAGGA